UACGGGGGGGGCAAGCGUUGUUCGGAAUUACUGGGCGUAAAGGGCUCGUAGGCGGCCAACUAAGUCGGAUGUGAAAUCCCCAGGCUUAACCUGGGAACUGCAUCCGAUACUGAUUGGCUUGAAUCCGGGAGAGGGAUGCGGAAUUCCAGGUGUAGCGGUGAAAUGCGUAGAUAUCUGGAGGAACACCGGUGGCGAAGGCGGCAUCCUGGACCGGCAUUGACGCUGAGGAGCGAAAGCCAGGGGAGCAAACGGG
This 253-nucleotide ribosomal RNA is filed under the name uncultured bacterium. RNAcentral describes it as "partial 16S ribosomal RNA". It matches the Rfam family "Bacterial small subunit ribosomal RNA", at positions 524 to 776 of the family's 1533-position model. The record is from RNAcentral.